RNAcentral lists this ribosomal RNA (465 nucleotides) under uncultured bacterium. Its description in RNAcentral is "partial 16S ribosomal RNA". It matches the Rfam family "Bacterial small subunit ribosomal RNA", at positions 338 to 795 of the family's 1533-position model. The record is from RNAcentral.
CCUACGGGAGGCAGCAGUAGGGAAUCUUCCACAAUGGCCGAAAGUCUGAUGGAGCAACGCCGCGUGAGUGAAGAAGGGUUUCGGCUCGUAAAGCUCUGUUGGUAGUGAAGAAAAAUAGAGGUAGUGACUGGCCUUUAUUUGACGGUAAUUACUUAGAAAGUCACGGCUAACUACGUGCCAGCCGCCGAGGGAAUACGUAGGUGGCAAGCGUUGUCCGGUUUUGUUGGGCGUAAAGCGAGUGCAGGCGGUUCAAUAAGUCUGAUGUGAAAGCCUUCGGCCCAACCGGCGAAUUGCAUCAGAAACUGUUGAACUUGAGUGCAGAAGAGGAGAGUGGAACUCCAUGUGUAGCGGUGGAAUGCGUAGAUAUAUGGAAGAACACCAGUGGCGAAGGCGGCUCUCUGGCCUGCAACUGACGCUGAGGCUCGAAAGCAUGGGUAGCGAACAGGAUUAGAUACCCGAGUAGUC